Molecule: non-coding RNA, 477 nt
Organism: Microcebus murinus (gray mouse lemur)
Lineage: Eukaryota; Metazoa; Chordata; Mammalia; Primates; Cheirogaleidae
Source: RefSeq, a predicted model, not a curated record
GCUGUGGAUACAGAGUUUGGAUGCCUGAGCCUCAUCCAUGGUACAGAAAUUGCCCUUGGGGUUGCACUAUGAGAAGAACAUCAUGGAGGACACUAUUUAAGAGCUUAGGGGCUGUGCUGGUCCAGGACCCACCUCAGGAAGUCUACUUUUCUUGUCAACCUAUUGAGUGAGAAGCCCUUAUUCUCUCUCAAUCUCUUUUGUUAUUUUCACAGAUUAAUGGGGUAAAAGUACUUUUUGUCACAUGGGUGAAUCGUAUAAUGUUGAAGUCAAGGCAUUUAGUGUACCAGUCACCAGAAUAAUACACAUUAUGCCUAAUAGGAUAUGGGUGAAGAUAGCAGAAUGAGGAGCAUCUAAUACCUGAACUUUGGGGGUGGAUCUGGAUCCUCCAGAACUCCUGAAGUUGGGAAGGAGAAACUUGGCAUGAAGACACUUAAGACAAAGGCUGUGAGAAUUUAACAGUAAGGAAGAGUUUUGCUG